This 465-nucleotide ribosomal RNA is filed under the name uncultured bacterium. RNAcentral describes it as "partial 16S ribosomal RNA". It matches the Rfam family "Bacterial small subunit ribosomal RNA", at positions 338 to 795 of the family's 1533-position model. The record is from RNAcentral.
CCUACGGGAGGCUGCAGUGGGGAAUAUUGCGCAAUGGGCGAAAGCCUGACACAGCGACGCCGCGUGAGGGAUGAAGGUCUUCGGAUCGUAAACCUCUGUCAGCAGGGAAGAACGGUCACUGUGCUAAUCAGCAGUGAAUUGACGGUACCUGCAAAGGAAGCACCGGCUAACUCCGUGCCAGCAGCCGCGGUAAUACGGAGGGUGCGAGCGUUAAUCGGAAUUACUGGGCGUAAAGCGCUCGUAGGCGGUAUGUCAAGUCAAGGGUGAAAUCCCCGCGCUCAACGUGGGAACUGCCUUUGAAACUGGCAAACUGGAGUGUGUGAGAGGAGAGUGGAAUUCCAGGUGUAGGAGUGAAAUCCGUAGAUAUCUGGAGGAACAUCAGUGGCGAAGGCGACUAUCUGGAACAUAACUGACGCUGAGGAGCGAAAGCGUGGGUAGCAAACAGGAUUAGAUACCCCAGUAGUC